Molecule: long non-coding RNA, 416 nt
Organism: Xenopus laevis (African clawed frog)
Lineage: Eukaryota; Metazoa; Chordata; Amphibia; Anura; Pipidae
Exons: 2
Source: RefSeq, a predicted model, not a curated record
UUUCAGUGCAGAAGUCUUCUGGAGCAGCACUGAAGUGCCACAACAAAGUGUAUUUUCUACUGCCUGAGACACAACUCGAAGAACAGAAAAUUACCUUUGAAAGCUGAUCUUUUCGUUUCCCUGGCCAUAACAUAUGAGCACAUUGGGGGGAAGAUGUGGUUUUGGGUGGUAUGGUUUAUACAGACAACACCAGACCCUUGAAAAAUGUUUAUGCUGUUGUCUCGUAUUCCUACAAUAUCCUGGCUGCUCCCUUCAGAUCCUGUGGCCACCAUCCAGCGACUUCGGCUGCAUUGUCUUCCUGCACUCAGGAAAAAGUCGGAGGUGAAGAGAAGAUGCUGGAUGUCUUAGGAUCUUUCUCCAAAAUGCCCCAAUAUUUUAAUAUUGUUUUUUUAAUAAACUUUGAGUUGGUAUCAUAA